GAUGAACGCUGGCGGCGUGCCUAAUACAUGCAAGUCGAGCGAACAGACGAGGAGCUUGCUCCUCUGACGUUAGCGGCGGACGGGUGAGUAACACGUGGAUAACCUACCUAUAAGACUGGGAUAACUUCGGGAAACCGGAGCUAAUACCGGAUAAUAUAUUGAACCGCAUGGUUCAAUAGUGAAAGACGGUUUUGCUGUCACUUAUAGAUGGAUCCGCGCCGCAUUAGCUAGUUGGUAAGGUAACGGCUUACCAAGGCAACGAUGCGUAGCCGACCUGAGAGGGUGAUCGGCCACACUGGAACUGAGACACGGUCCAGACUCCUACGGGAGGCAGCAGUAGGGAAUCUUCCGCAAUGGGCGAAAGCUUGACGGAGCAACGCCGCGUGAGUGAUGAAGGUCUGCGGAUCGUAAAACGCUGUUAUUAGGGAAGAACAAAUGUGUAAGUAACGAUGCACGUCUUGACGGUACCUAAGCAGAAAGCCACGGCUAACUACGU
This 496-nucleotide ribosomal RNA is filed under the name uncultured bacterium. RNAcentral describes it as "partial 16S ribosomal RNA". It matches the Rfam family "Bacterial small subunit ribosomal RNA", at positions 28 to 506 of the family's 1533-position model. The record is from RNAcentral.